Ahaetulla prasina is the source of this 2885-nucleotide RNA transcript. It is a transcript of the gene named cell division cycle 123, with no coding region annotated. NCBI's taxonomy places the organism in Eukaryota, Metazoa, Chordata, Lepidosauria, Squamata, Colubridae. The transcript has 15 exons. The record is from RefSeq and is a predicted model, not a curated record.
AACCGAAACAAAGCACUCGGAGUUAAAUAAACCUGAAGUUCCUCAUAUGACGUUCUGAGGGACUUAUCUCUACAUGACCGGCCGAGAUCCUCCUACAGAAUACAUUCUCUGCCACCGAUUGGCUAACAGAAACGCCUGUCACUUACCAGCUCCAAAGAAAGCUAGCCUUCCGGCUUUCCCUGGAGGGCGGCGCUAACCACGCAGGUCGGAGGACAAUCUCUUACCCAAUAAGACGGAGAAGGCGUGAAGCCCCGCCUCCCGCGCUCUUUGAUUGGUCGGAGCCUCCAGGAGCAGCUGGGACGAUGGAGUAGCAGAGCUGACAGUCAUCUUUUGAAUACCAAGAUGAAGAAAGAACAGAUACUCAACUGUCAGUUCUCUUCCUGGUAUCCUCGUUUUAAGAGGCAGACCAUCCGCAGUGUCAUUCUUCCAAUCCCACAGAACGUCAAAGAUUAUUUGCUAGAUGAUGGAACCCUGGUCGUUUCUGGCAGAGAGGAUCCCCAAACCAUAACCCAAGAUGGGGCCGAUGAGGAAGAAGCGGAAGAAGCUGUGUGGUCUGAUGAUGAAAAUACAGCAACACUUACAGCACCAGAAUUUCCCGAAUUUUCCCUUAAGGUUGAAGAGGCGAUCCAUUCCUUGGGAGGCAGCGUUUUUCCGAAGCUUAACUGGAGCGCUCCAAGGGACGCCUACUGGAUCGCCAUGAAUAAUUCCCUGAAAUGCAACAGCCUCAGUGAUAUUUUCCUGCUUUUGAAAAGUUCGGAUUUCAUUACUCGCGACUUCACUCAGCCGUUUAUCCAUUGCAACGAUGAUUCCCCGGACCCUUCUCUGAAUUAUGAACUUGUCCUCCGAAAAUGGUGUGAAUUGAUUCCUGGGGCAGAGUUUCGGUGUUUCGUGAAGGAAAACAAACUUAUUGCUAUAUCUCAGCGAGACUACACUCAGUACUACGAACAUAUCUCUAAACAGAAAGAAGAGAUCUGUAGAUGCAUACAGGAUUUUUUCACCAAACACAUACAAUAUAAAUUUUUGGAUGAGGAUUUUGUAUUUGAUGUCUACAGGGACAGUAUGGGCAGAAUUUGGCUCAUCGAUUUUAAUCCGUUCGGGGAAGUAACAGAUUCUCUGCUGUUUACAUGGGAAGAAAUACGGUCCGGAAACAGUUUGAAAAAUGACCAGACUGAAGGUGCAGCGAUGGAAGAGGAGUCUCCAUCCUUCCGUUGCACGAACAGUAAUCUUACGGUCCAGCCGAGUCCGUAUCUGAGCUACAGAUUGCCCAAAGAUUUUGUAGAUCUGUCCACGGGAGAAGAUGUCCACAAAUUAAUUGACUUGCUCAAGCUGAAAAGAAACCAGCCAGAGGAUGAUGAACAAUGAAGAUCACGGGAUAAAAUGAAAACAAAAACAAAAAAACGGAAAGGAGGCCACCCAGAAAAAUAGCAUUUUAACUGUAGCAGCUCGCAGUAAGAACUUCUUUCGUCGCAAAGGAAAGGCAAUGUUAAUGUUGCAUCAUUACUUUAACGGAAUAAAGAUGUUUUCACCCCACUAGAUAAAUAUUGCUUGGGAAAUAGCAAUAUUAUACCGAUGGGACACAGUUCUCUCCCAAUAAGCCUGUAUAUUUGGUUUCUAAGUGUUUGGUUUGCAUUUUUUCCAGAUUUCCUACGCCAGAGAGAGAAAUUUAGAGUGACUGGGUUCAACUGUGCUCUUAAGUCAAGGUCUACCUUUAUUCAUUAAAGCGAAACGUCGGCGGAGUGAGACUUUUCUGGCCGCAGUGGUGAAGUGAAUCCCUGCAAGUUGUUAAAGUGAGUCACAAGGUUGUUAAGUUUUGCCUUUGCCUUUGCUGCUCAGAAGGUCGCGAAAGUUGGGGGGGGUGUCGUGUGACCCCGGGACGCUGCAACCGUCAUAAAUAUGAGUCUGUCGCAGAGUGUCUGAAUUUAGAUCACGGGAACGAGGGAUGCUGCAAAGUUCAUAACUGAAAUAUGGUUCUAAGUCACCUUUUUCAGUGCCGUUGUAACUGAAGGGCCACUAAAUGAGCUUGUUGUAAGCCGAGAACUACCUUUUGAUAAAUGGAAGAGAUGGGUUCUAUUUAAUCUUUCGUGCAAGUGGAAGUCUACUUUGUGAGUGUCUGGGGAAGGAUGUCCAAGAAAGAGAAGAAAACAUUGGCAUAAAACAGUCAAGAAAUCCCAGAUCGGUUGACUUCUCCAUUCGAUCCAAGAGAUUCCACUUCAAUUAGCUUGUUAGAAAAGCAGGAAAACUCCCAUAAUAGCUGAUUUAUUUGUUGAGAAAAUUGAUAUUGUUGCCCACUCGCACAUGGCGACUUAAGGUGGCUUAGAAGGAUAUCAACGGAGGAAACCCUACACUUUUAGUUUCCAAGAUUUUGUAGAUAUCCAAAACCCAAUAGGAAAAAUAUCUUAACUAAAAAAUACCUUAACCUUCUUAAUGUCUGAUAGAAGAGAAUAUUUGUAGCUCAGGGUUGAAAUGAAGAGUCCUUGGUGCUCUCUGAGCUUGGUGGUUUUCUUGCAGACAUUUCCUGACCCAUCUAGGCAACAUCAUCAGUGCUAAGAAGGGAGUGGGAUUUGCAGAGUGGAGGAGGAGGAGGACUGUGGGGGUCCUUGGUGCUCUCUGAGCUUGGUUUUCUUGCAGAUGUUUCCUGACCCAACUAGGUAACAUCAUCAGUGCUACAAAGAACUGAGUAAUUUAGGAGGAGGAGGAGAACUGUGGGUCCUUGGUGCUCUCUAAGCUUGAUGGUUUUCUUGCAGACGUUUUCAUGACCCAACUAGGUAACAUCAUCAGUGCUAGGAGAGGGGUUUGCUCCCUGUCCAUAUCCAUGCCCUGCCAGUAUUGGUGGAGAUACUGUUUUCUCUUGAUUGUUCGUUGAUUAAACUGUUGUGUGCUACUUG